GAAAGAACGUAGCAAAAUGCGAUAAGUAAUGUGAAUUGCAGAAUUCAGUGAAUCAUCGAAUCUUUGAACGCACAUUGCGCCCGCCAGUAUUCUGGCGGGCAUGCCUGUUCGAGCGUCAUUUCAACCCUCAAGCACAGCUUGGUGUUGGGACUCGCGUUAAUUCGCGUUCCCCAAAUUGAUUGGCGGUCACGUCGAGCUUCCAUAGCGUAGUAGUAAAACCCUCGUUACUGGUAAUCGUCGCGGCCACGCCGUUAAACCCCAACUUCUGAAGGUUGACCUCGGAUCAGGUAGGAAUACCCGCUGAACUUAAGCAUAUCAAUAAGCGGAGGA
Molecule: unclassified non-coding RNA, 330 nt
Filed under: soil metagenome
Description: partial contains 5.8S ribosomal RNA, internal transcribed spacer 2, and large subunit ribosomal RNA
Rfam family: 5.8S ribosomal RNA (bases 3-118)
Source: RNAcentral